Long non-coding RNA from Gambusia affinis (western mosquitofish), 362 nucleotides. RefSeq lists it as uncharacterized. NCBI's taxonomy places the organism in Eukaryota, Metazoa, Chordata, Actinopteri, Cyprinodontiformes, Poeciliidae. The record is from RefSeq and is a predicted model, not a curated record. The transcript has 3 exons.
UCAGUUCGCGCCAAGCUGCGCUGAGGAGAGGGUGUUUGGGGGAAAUCCGGAGCCCAGGAGCCUCAGUAUUUAAAAUGUUCUUGUUUUGAACAGGAAUAAAACAACGCAGAGUUGAUUCCAGAGUGAUUCCGGUGUGAUUCUUCCUACAACCGCUACAUUUGGUGCCGUGACCCGGAUCCAUUGGUUAGCCACUGCCGACCGCCGAGGGUUCAGCUGUGUGCUAGUGACGCUGAUGUCAUCCAGUUGGUCGACCUGUGGAUCUUGUUCAUUACUGUCGAGGUUACGAUCGCUUUUAUGAACACAGAGACUUUAAACAAUCAGUCAAAUCACUAUAUUAGUUUGUCAAAGCCAUUUUUUUGUGA